ACGGGAGGCAGCAGUGGGGAAUAUUGCACAAUGGGCGCAAGCCUGAUGCAGCGAUGCCGCGUGAGGGAAGAAGGUUUUCGGAUUGUAAACCUCUGUCAUCGGGGACGAUAAUGACUGUACCCGAGAAGGAAGCUCCGGCUAACUACGUGCCAGCAGCCGCGGUAAUACGUAGGGAGCGAGCGUUAUCCGGAAUUACUGGGUGUAAAGGGAGUGUAGGCGGGACUGUAAGUCAGAUGUGAAAUCCCGGGGCUCAACCCCGGAACUGCAUUUGAAACUGUAGCCCUUGAGUAUCGGAGAGGCAAGCGGAAUUCCUAGUGUAGCGGUGAAAUGCGUAGAUAUUAGGAGGAACACCAGUGGCGAAGGCGGCUUGCUGGACGACAACUGACGCUGAGGCGCGAAAGCGUGGGGAGCAAACAGGAUUAGAUACCCUGGUA
Molecule: ribosomal RNA, 434 nt
Filed under: uncultured Ruminococcus sp.
Lineage: Bacteria; Bacillati; Bacillota; Clostridia; Eubacteriales; Oscillospiraceae
Description: partial 16S ribosomal RNA
Rfam family: Bacterial small subunit ribosomal RNA
Source: RNAcentral